Molecule: ribosomal RNA, 395 nt
Filed under: uncultured bacterium
Lineage: Bacteria
Description: bacterial SSU rRNA
Rfam family: Bacterial small subunit ribosomal RNA
Source: RNAcentral
GUGCCAGCAGCCGCGGUAAUACAGAGGUCUCAAGCGUUGUUCGGAUUCAUUGGGCGUAAAGGGUGCGUAGGCGGUGAGGUAAGUCGGAUGUGAAAUCCCGGGGCUCAACCCCGGAACUGCAUUCGAUACUGCUUUACUUGAGGACUGGAGAGGAGAUUGGAAUUCACGGUGUAGCAGUGAAAUGCGUAGAUAUCGUGAGGAAGACCAGUGGCGAAGGCGAAUCUCUGGACAGAUCCUGACGCUGAGGCACGAAGGCUAGGGGAGCAAACGGGAUUAGAUACCCCGGUAGUCCUAGCAGUAAACGGUGCACGUUUAGUAUGGGAGGAAUCGACCCCUUCCGUGCUGGAGCUAACGCGUUAAACGUGCCGCCUGGGGAGUACGGUCGCAAGAUUAAA